GUUUGGUCAGACACCUAAACAGUGCGCGCGGUACCUCACUUGAACCGCUAGGGCGAACAGUGCCCGCCUCCUUGCCUUUAGAGCAGCUUUGACAGUGGCCUCCAUACCCCUGAGUCCCUGGGAAGCACUUUUGCCUUAACGCAGACGUUCCACCUUCUCCCUCUCAGCUUCCUCAGCGCAGAGACGGAGAAAACUGCCCCCGGGCCUCUAGAACCAGGAGCCUGACGACUUUAGACCUUGUGAGAGGGGGUAGGGGAUGGAACGGGCAGUCAACUGAAGCCACAAAGGAGAAGAAAGAAACAACAGGCUCAAGGUGGAGCCACUAGCCCCCAGGACAGCAAACCAAGACUUAAUGGCAGUUUCAGCCUGUCUCAAGAACAGAAUUUCUGGAAUUGCUUAUCAGCACUAGGGAGCGGUACGCGGGCCUCUUACUGUUGUGGCCUCUCCCGUUGCAGAGCACAGGCUCCGGACGCGCAGACUCAGCGGCCAUGGCUUACGGGCCUAGCCGUUCCACGGCAUGUGGGAACUUCGCGGACCGGGGCACGAACCUGCGUCCCCUGUAUCGGCAGGCGGACUCUCAACCACUGCGCCACCAGGGAAGCCCCGAAAAUAAUGUGUUUUGAAAAGCAGUUAAUCAGGCUGGUAACAUUAUGAGUGAACUUUUUUUCUUCUUAGACUUUAGUGUAACACUAGUUUAAUAGAAUUUUCUUUUAAGGCUUGUUUUUGUAGGUUGUAGAGUUGCUAAUUGCAACACCCUCAAAUUACCAAAAAGUUAAUAUUUUUUAACCAACUGAAUUUUAUUAUUGUCAUUUUGAAGAAAGGCAGCAAUUGUGUU
Long non-coding RNA from Physeter macrocephalus (sperm whale), 835 nucleotides. RefSeq lists it as uncharacterized. NCBI's taxonomy places the organism in Eukaryota, Metazoa, Chordata, Mammalia, Artiodactyla, Physeteridae. The record is from RefSeq and is a predicted model, not a curated record. The transcript has 3 exons.